ACAUUCACAGUGCAGGUGGAAAAAGUAUGUGAACCCUUGCAUUUAAUAACUGGUUGAACCUCCUUUGGCAGCAAUAAUAGUUGCAGAUCAGACGUGCACAACGGUCAGGAGUAAUUCUUGACCAUUCCUCUUUACAGAAAUGUUUCAAUUCAGCAAUAUUCUUGGGAUGUCUGGUGUGAAUCGCUUUCUUGAGGUCAUACCACAGCAUCUCAAUCGGGUUGAGGUCAUGACUCUGACUAGGCCACUGCAGAAGGCGUAUUUUCUUCUGUUUAAGCCAUUCUGUUGAUUUACUUCUAUGCUUUGGGUCAUUGUCCUGUUGCAACACCCAUCUUCUGUUGAGCUUCAGCUGGUAGACAGAUGGCCUUAAGUUCUCCUGCAAAAUGUCUUGAUAAACUUGGGAAUUCAUUUUUCCUUCGAUGAUAGCAAUCCGUCCAGGCCCUGACGCAGCAAAGCAGCCCCAAACCAUGAUGCCUCCACCACCAUACUUCACAGUUGGGAUGAGGUUUUGAUGUUGGUGUGCUGUGCCUUUUUUUCGCCACACAUAGUGUUGUGUGUUUCUUCCAAACAACUCAAC
Molecule: non-coding RNA, 574 nt
Organism: Pelobates cultripes (western spadefoot toad)
Lineage: Eukaryota; Metazoa; Chordata; Amphibia; Anura; Pelobatidae
Source: the annotation of a GenBank genome assembly